AUGGCAUGUCUUGCUACAGUUGGAGUUUUUGUGUUUUCACAUCAGGGACAUGAAUAUGAAGCUUACAAAAUUAUAGUACAUCUUAGGGAGGUUGAGGAAUUUUUAACAACUUUGUUUGGUAUGCUAGGCAAAAUAAUUUUCUUGGUAGCGCAGAGCUUCUGGUUUUUAUAUGACAGUUUUGAUAAUCAUCAAUUUUGA
This is a non-coding RNA of Vicia faba (fava bean), 198 nucleotides long. The record is from the annotation of a GenBank genome assembly. NCBI's taxonomy places the organism in Eukaryota, Viridiplantae, Streptophyta, Magnoliopsida, Fabales, Fabaceae.